GCCCGGGUCCCCUUCCACACUGUGGAAGCUUUGUUCUUUCUCUCUUUGCAAUAAAGCUUGCUGCUGCUCACUCUUUGGGUCCACACUGCCUUUAUGAGCUGUAACACUCACCACGAAGGUCUGCAGCUUCACUCCUGAAGCCAGUGAGACCACAAACCCACCAGGAGGAACAAACUCCAGACGCACUGCCUUAAGAGCUGUAACACUCACCGUGGAGGUCUGCAGCUUCACUCCUGAGCCAGCAAGACCACGAACCCACCAGAAGGAAGAAACUCCGAACACAUCUGAACAUCAGAAGGAACAAACUCCGGACACGCCGCCUUUAAGAAAUAUAACACUCACCAUAAGGGUCUGCGGCUUCAUUCUUGAAGUCAGUGAGACCAAGAACCCACCAAUUCUGGACACAUUUUGGUGACCACGAAGGGACCAUCGCCUAUCGCCAAGCAGUGAGACUAUCGCCAAGUGGUGAGACCAUCGCCUAUCACUGAGCGGAGAGAUUAUCGCCUAUCGCCAAGCAUGUAGGGCAUGAGUUCCUGGCUGCCCCAUAAGGAAGGAAACUGCCAGAAGCCCUUUAGAAUGAAGAAAAGUGAGAAGAUUCUUGGAAAGUGGACUGAGCUUUUAACUCUGCAAGGGACCCUCAGCCCUCUUGGCAUACUGAAGUGAACACUCUGCAGCUAAGCACCACUGAAUCCAGCAGGACUUGAGACUUCAUCAUCUGCCAAAAAUGAGCUUUCCUAACAACAUGGGACCUAUUUGUCUAAAAAUAAACUGUCCUAGCCACAAGAGAUGAGACAAAACCCAAGACCACAGACUCAUUUUCUUCUAAAAUGCUCUGUCUGAAAGAUUUUAAGAAGAAAACGGGAGAGAAAUAUAAAAAGAAAAUAAAAACUUGGGACCCCAAUUCACUAUGCCAAAAGGGAAAAAAUUAAGCUGAAAGCUGAGUAAUGCAAGAAGCUGCCUUUCUUUUUGUUCCUAAGCAAAUAGCUACAGAUAAAAGGUUUAGUAUCUCCACAGGUAGCUACUCUAGGUUCACUUUAUCUUAUGUAAAGUGCUGAUUUGCAGAGCAUGAGAUGAAUACAUAGUUGACCCUUCCCCUAACCGCUCCUUUUCUCUUGCAAUAUGUGGAUUCAGUAAUGUGACCAUACCCUACCUCUUUCCCCUCCAGCCUGCUUUUCCCCAUUAAAUAUUGAAGCCCUCAAAAUAAUACUUGGAGAAAGGCAUAGACAUAUCACCCAGGUGGGUCCUUAACCUUUGCAAAAUAAACUUCUAAAUUGAUUGAGACCUGUCUCAGAUACUUUUUGGUUUACAAUAUAAUAUGAAAAGUAUUCUUUAAUCUGCAUGCAUGGAAAACUAUUCAUACUGGAAAAUAAAAUGUUACCUAACAUAUUUUAAUUAAAAAAAAAUUGCAACCACCUCAAAAUUGAAGAAGUAAAAACUCACAAACAAC
This 1447-nucleotide long non-coding RNA is filed under the name Homo sapiens (human). Its description in RNAcentral is "HSALNT0287404". Lineage: Eukaryota; Metazoa; Chordata; Mammalia; Primates; Hominidae. The record is from RNAcentral.